Molecule: ribosomal RNA, 253 nt
Filed under: uncultured bacterium
Lineage: Bacteria
Description: partial 16S ribosomal RNA
Rfam family: Bacterial small subunit ribosomal RNA
Source: RNAcentral
UACGUAGGUGGCAAGCGUUGUCCGGAUUUACUGGGCGUAAAGAGCGCGCAGGCGGUCGUUCAAGUCGCGUGUGAAAGCCCCCGGCUCAACUGGGGAGGGUCACGCGAUACUGAUCGACUCGAAGGCAGGAGAGGGAAGUGGAAUUCCCGGUGUAGUGGUGAAAUGCGUAGAUAUCGGGAGGAACACCAGUGGCGAAGGCGACUUCCUGGCCUGUUACCGACGCUCAGGCGCGACAGCGUGGGGAGCAAACAGG